UGGGGGAUAUUGCACAAUGGGCGAAAGCCUGAUGCAGCGACGCUGCGUGGGGGAUGAAGGCCUUCGGGUUGUAAACUUCUUUUGCUCUGAACAAGGCAUGCCUUUGGGGUGUGUUGAGUGUAGGGGUUGAUUAGCGCCGGCUAACUACGUGCCAGCAGCCGCGGUAAUACGUAGGGCGGGAGCGUUGUCCGGAAUUAUCGGGAGUAAGGGGCUUGUAGGUGGCUGGUUGCGUCUGUCGUGAAAGCUCAUGGCUUAACUGUGGGGUUGCGGUGGGUACGGGCAGGGAUGAGGGGAGUAGGGGAGGCUGGAAUUCCUGGUGUAGCGGUGGAAGGAGCAAAUAUCAGGAGGAAUACCGGUGGCGAAGACGGGUCUCUGGGCUGUUGCUGACGCUGAGGGGCGAAAGCGUGGGGAGCGAACAGG
Molecule: ribosomal RNA, 420 nt
Filed under: Fusobacteriota bacterium
Lineage: Bacteria; Fusobacteriati; Fusobacteriota
Description: Fusobacteria bacterium partial 16S ribosomal RNA
Rfam family: Bacterial small subunit ribosomal RNA
Source: RNAcentral